AUUGAACGCUGGCGGCAGGCCUAACACAUGCAAGUCGAGCGGUAGAGAGGUGCUUGCAUCUCUUGAGAGCGGCGGACGGGUGAGUAAUGCCUAGGAAUCUGCCUAGUGGUGGGGGAUAACGUUCGGAAACGGACGCUAAUACCGCAUACGUCCUACGGGAGAAAGCGGGGGAUCUUCGGACCUCGCGCCAUUAGAUGAGCCUAGGUCGGAUUAGCUAGUUGGUGAGGUAAUGGCUCACCAAGGCGACGAUCCGUAACUGGUCUGAGAGGAUGAUCAGUCACACUGGAACUGAGACACGGUCCAGACUCCUACGGGAGGCAGCAGUGGGGAAUAUUGGACAAUGGGCGAAAGCCUGAUCCAGCCAUGCCGCGUGUGUGAAGAAGGUCUUCGGAUUGUAAAGCACUUUAAG
Molecule: ribosomal RNA, 409 nt
Filed under: uncultured bacterium
Lineage: Bacteria
Description: bacterial SSU rRNA
Rfam family: Bacterial small subunit ribosomal RNA
Source: RNAcentral